RNAcentral lists this ribosomal RNA (492 nucleotides) under uncultured bacterium. RNAcentral's name for it is "partial 16S ribosomal RNA". It matches the Rfam family "Bacterial small subunit ribosomal RNA", at positions 29 to 507 of the family's 1533-position model. The record is from RNAcentral.
AGUGAACGCUGGCGGUAGGCCUAACACAUGCAAGUCGAACGGCAGCACAGUAAGAGCUUGCUCUUACGGGUGGCGAGUGGCGGACGGGUGAGGAAUACAUCGGAAUCUACUUUUUCGUGGGGGCUAACGUAGGGAAACUUACGCUAAUACCGCAUACGACCUACGGGUAAAAGCAGGGGAUCUUCGGACCUUGCGCGAUUGAAUGAGCCGAUGUCGGAUUAGCUAGUUGGCGGGGUAAAGGCCCACCAAGGCGACGAUCCGUAGCUGGUCUGAGAGGAUGAUCAGCCACACUGGAACUGAGACACGGUCCAGACUCCUACGGGAGGCAGCAGUGGGGAAUAUUGGACAAUGGGCGCAAGCCUGAUCCAGCCAUACCGCGUGGGUGAAGAAGGCCUUCGGGUUGUAAAGCCCUUUUGUUGGGAAAGAAAAGCAGCAGGUUAAUACCCCGCUGUUCUGACGGUACCCAAAGAAUAAGCACCGGCUAACUUCGUG